RNAcentral lists this non-coding RNA (96 nucleotides) under unclassified sequences. RNAcentral's name for it is "PhotoRC-II RNA". It matches the Rfam family "PhotoRC-II RNA". The record is from RNAcentral.
UAACACCACCUACUCCCCCUAAACCAAGACCUAUAGGGAGUAUAAAUUACGUCUUUCAUAUCCAGUAGUGAGGGAUUACUGGAAAUAAGUUUCGCA